Molecule: non-coding RNA, 95 nt
Filed under: Paenibacillus stellifer
Lineage: Bacteria; Bacillati; Bacillota; Bacilli; Caryophanales; Paenibacillaceae
Description: c-di-GMP sequence
Rfam family: c-di-GMP-I-GGC riboswitch aptamer
Source: Rfam by way of RNAcentral
UGUGACAAAGGCAAACUUGCCGAAAGGCAAGGACGCAAAGCCAUAGGGCCUUCUUCGUCUCACACGAGCCGAAGGUGGCAGCCGCGCUGCCGGAA